This 1427-nucleotide ribosomal RNA is filed under the name metagenome. RNAcentral's name for it is "bacterial SSU rRNA". It matches the Rfam family "Bacterial small subunit ribosomal RNA". The record is from RNAcentral.
AGAGUUUGAUCCUGGCUCAGGAUGAACGCUGGCGGCGUGCUUAACACAUGCAAGUCGAACGAGCCUUCGGGCUAGUGGCGGACGGGUGAGUAACGCGUGAGAAUCUGCCCUCAGGAGGGGGAUAACGGCUGGAAACGGCCGCUAAUACCCCAUAUGCCGCGAGGUGAAAUGAGAAAUCGCCUGAGGAUGAGCUCGCGUCUGAUUAGCUAGUUGGUGGGGUAAGAGCCUACCAAGGCAUCGAUCAGUAGCUGGUCUGAGAGGAUGAUCAGCCACACUGGGACUGAGACACGGCCCAGACUCCUACGGGAGGCAGCAGUGGGGAAUUUUCCGCAAUGGGCGCAAGCCUGACGGAGCAACGCCGCGUGAGGGAUGAAGGCCUCUGGGCUGUAAACCUCUUUUCUCAAGGAAGAAGAACUGACGGUACUUGAGGAAUAAGCCACGGCUAAUUCCGUGCCAGCAGCCGCGGUAAUACGGGAGCGGCAAGCGUUAUCCGGAAUUAUUGGGCGUAAAGCGUCCGCAGGCGGUCUUGAAAGUCUGUUGUUAAAGCGUGGAGCUCAACUCCAUUUCAGCAAUGGAAACUAGAAGACUAGAGUGUGGUAGGGGCAGAGGGAAUUCCCGGUGUAGCGGUGAAAUGCGUAGAUAUCGGGAAGAACACCAGUGGCGAAGGCGCUCUGCUGGGCCAUAACUGACGCUCAUGGACGAAAGCCAGGGGAGCGAAAGGGAUUAGAUACCCCUGUAGUCCUGGCCGUAAACGAUGAACACUAGGUGUCGGGGGAAUCGACCCCCUCGGUGUCGUAGCCAACGCGUUAAGUGUUCCGCCUGGGGAGUACGCACGCAAGUGUGAAACUCAAAGGAAUUGACGGGGGCCCGCACAAGCGGUGGAGUAUGUGGUUUAAUUCGAUGCAACGCGAAGAACCUUACCAGGGUUUGACAUCCUGCGAAUCUUUUGGAAACAGAAGAGUGCCUUCGGGAGCGCAGAGACAGGUGGUGCAUGGCUGUCGUCAGCUCGUGUCGUGAGAUGUUGGGUUAAGUCCCGCAACGAGCGCAACCCACGUCUUUAGUUGCCAGCAUUGAGUUGGGCACUCUAGAGAGACCGCCGGUGAUAAACCGGAGGGAGGUGUGGAUGACGUCAAGUCAUCAUGCCCCUUACAUCCUGGGCUACACACGUACUACAAUGCUACGGACAGAGGGCAGCAAACUCGCGAGAGCUAGCAAAUCCCAUAAACCGUGGCUCAGUUCAGAUCGUAGGCUGCAACUCGCCUACGUGAAGGAGGAAUCGCUAGUAAUCGCAGGUCAGCAUACUGCGGUGAAUACGUUCCCGGGCCUUGUACACACCGCCCGUCACACCAUGGAAGUUGGCCAUGCCCGAAGUCGUUACUCCAACCCUUGUGGAGGAGGACGCCGAAGGUGGGGCUGAUGACUGGGGU